RNAcentral lists this ribosomal RNA (459 nucleotides) under uncultured bacterium. Its description in RNAcentral is "partial 16S ribosomal RNA". It matches the Rfam family "Bacterial small subunit ribosomal RNA", at positions 338 to 795 of the family's 1533-position model. The record is from RNAcentral.
CCUACGGGAUGCAGCAGUGAGGAAUAUUUGUCAAUGGGCGUAAGCCUGAACCAGCCAAGUCGCGUGAGGGAUGAAGGUUCUAUGGAUCGUAAACCUCUUUUAUAAGGGAAUAAAGUUUGGGACGUGUCCUAUUUUGUAUGUACCUUAUGAAUAAGGAUCGGCUAACUCCGUGCCAUCAGCCGCGGUAAUACGGAGGAUGCGACCGUUGUCCGGAUUUAUUUGGUUAAAAGGGUGCGCAGGCGGAAUGUCAAGUGAGCGGUAAAAUUUCGGGGCUCAACCCCGUCGUGCCGUUGAAACUGGCGGUCUUGAGUGAGCGAGAAGUAUGCGGAAUGCGUGGUGUAGCGGUGAAAUGCAUAGAUAUCACGCAGAAUUCCGAUGGCGAAGGCAGCAUACUGGCGCUCAACUGACGCUCAUGCACGAAAGCGUGGGUAUCGAACAGGAUUAGAUACCCGAGUAGUC